GGGAUUAGCCCAUCGCCGAACCGCAGGCCAGACCGGGUCUCGUGGAAUGUGGCGUUUGGAAAGGUCUUCUCCAGGCCGGGGGUGCCUGUCAAAGUCCAACUUGACAGUGGCUACAGCCCACAGAGGGUGCUAGGCCCGUAAGGCGGCGUCCCCUGGUCUGCUGACCUUUUCCUCGAGUCGGGUUGCUUGGGAGUGCAGCCCAAAGAGCGUGGUAAACUCCACGUAAGGCUAAAUAUGACCCCGAGACCGAUAGCAAACAAGUACAGUGAUGGAAAUUUGAAAAGAACUUUGAAGAGAGAGUUAAGAGUACGUGAAACUGUGUGGCAGCAAACAUAGCUUUCCUCGAAGUUUGCCGGUUGGACCCAGCUUUAGUGCUCGGGCAGCCCUGGCCUUCGGAUCAGCAAUGACCGGGGGUUGGUGUGUCUGCUCGGCGCUCGGGCGCAUCUCCAGCCGGUGUUACGACGAGAACUGUUGGGCCUGGACCGAAGGCCCGGGGUGAAGUUUUCGCUUCGGCGUCAGCUCCCGGUGUCCUGGCUCUGGUGCCCGACAGGCCUCUGGCCAGCUUGUAUAGCAAGCACGGCUUGCCUUGUGCGGCUGGCUAUUCCUCGUCGAGUAGGUCGGUGGAAGCUAUGACCCGUCUUGAAACACGGACCAAGGAGUCUAACAUGUAUACAAGUCGUUGGGUUGACGAAACCUGAAGGCGCAGUGAAAGCAAAGGCCUGCUUGCAGGCUGAGGGACGAUGCCGUAGGGCCGCAGUCCCGCCAAUUCCAAUCAUCCUCGCUAUGUUGGGAUUAGGCAGAGUAUAGAUGUUGGGACCCGAAAGAUGGUGAACUAUGCCUGGUCAAGUUGAAGUCAGGCGAAAGCCUGAUGGAGGACUGAAGCGA
RNAcentral lists this ribosomal RNA (885 nucleotides) under Centropages velificatus. RNAcentral's name for it is "partial large subunit ribosomal RNA". It matches the Rfam family "Eukaryotic large subunit ribosomal RNA", at positions 100 to 883 of the family's 3401-position model. The record is from RNAcentral. Lineage: Eukaryota; Metazoa; Arthropoda; Copepoda; Calanoida; Centropagidae.